AUUGAACGCUGGCGGCAGGCUUAACACAUGCAAGUCGAACGGUAACAUGGGUGCUUGCACCUGAUGACGAGUGGCGGACGGGUGAGUAAUGUAUGGGGAUCUGCCGAAUGGAAUGGGACGACAGUUGGAAACGACUGCUAAUACCGUAUAAUGUCGCGAGACCAAAGUGUGGGACUUUCGGGCCACAUGCCAUUUGAUGAACCCAUGUGGGAUUAG
Molecule: ribosomal RNA, 216 nt
Filed under: uncultured bacterium
Lineage: Bacteria
Description: partial 16S ribosomal RNA
Rfam family: Bacterial small subunit ribosomal RNA
Source: RNAcentral